This 28-nucleotide non-coding RNA is filed under the name Homo sapiens (human). The record is from RNAcentral. Lineage: Eukaryota; Metazoa; Chordata; Mammalia; Primates; Hominidae.
UCCUAACAAUGUGCAGGGCAGUGGCCCA